GUAAAAAUGAUGUUGACGCUGGUACAUUUAACAUGAAAAAGCACGUUCUUCUCCCCUGUUAAUCUAUUUUUGGAAUGAUGUUACUAGACGGCCAUAAAGAAGAAUAACCCCAGGAAGUACCUUCGCAGUGUAGGAGAUGGAGAGACUGUGGAGUUUGAUGUUGUUGAAGGAGAAAAGGGUGCGGAGGCAGCUAAUGUUACAGGCCCUGGUGGAGUUCCAGUUCAAGGCAGUAAAUACGCAGCAGACCGUAACCAUUAUAGACGCUAUCCACGUCGUAGGGGUCCUCCACGCAAUUACCAGCAAAAUUACCAGAAUAGUGAGAGUGGGGAAAAGAAUGAAGGAUCGGAAAGCGCUCCUGAAGGCCAGGCCCAACAACGCCGGC
Molecule: long non-coding RNA, 382 nt
Filed under: Rattus norvegicus (Norway rat)
Lineage: Eukaryota; Metazoa; Chordata; Mammalia; Rodentia; Muridae
Description: long non-coding RNA NONRATT023544
Source: RNAcentral